UACGUAGGGGGCAAGCGUUACUCGGAUUCACUGGGCGUAAAGCGCGUGUAGGCGGCUGGUCAAGCGUGGUGUGAAAUCUCCGGGCUCAACCCGGAAACUGCAUUGCGAACUGGCCUGGCUAGAGUGCAGGAGAGGGCAGCGGAAUUCCCGGUGUAGUGGUGAAAUGCGUAGAUAUCGGGAGGAACACCAGUGGCGAAGGCGGCUGCCUGGCCUGCAACUGACGCUGAGACGCGAAAGCGUGGGGAGCGAACCGG
RNAcentral lists this ribosomal RNA (254 nucleotides) under uncultured bacterium. RNAcentral's name for it is "partial 16S ribosomal RNA". It matches the Rfam family "Bacterial small subunit ribosomal RNA", at positions 524 to 776 of the family's 1533-position model. The record is from RNAcentral.